Molecule: ribosomal RNA, 261 nt
Filed under: uncultured Desulfobulbaceae bacterium
Lineage: Bacteria; Pseudomonadati; Thermodesulfobacteriota; Desulfobulbia; Desulfobulbales; Desulfobulbaceae
Description: partial 16S ribosomal RNA
Rfam family: Bacterial small subunit ribosomal RNA
Source: RNAcentral
AAAACAACUACGGAGGGUGCAAGCGUUGUUCGGAAUUACUGGGCGUAAAGCGCGCGUAGGCGGUUUGUUAAGUCAGAUGUGAAAGCCCAUGGCUCAACCAUGGACGUGCAUUUGAAACUGGCAGACUUGAGUAUUGGAGGGGGUGGUGGAAUUCCCGGUGUAGAGGUGAAAUUCGUAGAUAUCGGGAGGAAUACCAGUGGCGAAGGCGGCUAACUGGACUGGUACUGACGCUGAGGUGCGAAAGUGUGGGGAGCAAACAGG